GAUGAACGCUGGCGGCGUGCUUAACACAUGCAAGUCGAACGGAAAGGCCCAAGCUUGCUUGGGUACUCGAGUGGCGAACGGGUGAGUAACACGUGGGUGAUCUGCCCUGCACUUCGGGAUAAGCCUGGGAAACUGGGUCUAAUACCGGAUAGGACCACAUUUUGGAUGGUGUGGUGGAAAGUUUUUCGGUGUGGGAUGAGCUCGCGGCCUAUCAGCUUGUUGGUGGGGUAAUGGCCUACCAAGGCGUCGACGGGUAGCCGGCCUGAGAGGGUGUACGGCCACAUUGGGACUGAGAUACGGCCCAGACUCCUACGGGAAGCAGCAGUGGGGAAUAUUGCACAAUGGGCGCAAGCCUGAUGCAGCGACGCCGCGUGGGGGAUGACGGCCUUCGGGUUGUAAACUCCUUUCGCUAGGGACGAAGCGUUAUGUGACGGUACCUGGAGAAGAAGCACCGGCUAACUACGUG
RNAcentral lists this ribosomal RNA (466 nucleotides) under uncultured bacterium. RNAcentral's name for it is "partial 16S ribosomal RNA". It matches the Rfam family "Bacterial small subunit ribosomal RNA", at positions 28 to 507 of the family's 1533-position model. The record is from RNAcentral.